This 429-nucleotide ribosomal RNA is filed under the name Acidobacteriota bacterium. Its description in RNAcentral is "Acidobacteria bacterium partial 16S ribosomal RNA". It matches the Rfam family "Bacterial small subunit ribosomal RNA", at positions 355 to 776 of the family's 1533-position model. Lineage: Bacteria; Pseudomonadati; Acidobacteriota. The record is from RNAcentral.
UGGGGAAUUUUGGACAAUGGGGGAAACCCUGAUCCAGCCAUCCCGCGUGUGCGAUGAAGGCCUUCGGGUUGUAAAGCACUUUUGGCAGGAAAGAAACGUCAUGGGUUAAUACCCCGUGAAACUGACGGUACCUGCAGAAUAAGCACCGGCUAACUACGUGCCAGCAGCCGCGGUAAUACGUAGGGUGCAAGCGUUAAUCGGAAUUACUGGGCGUAAAGCGUGCGCAGGCGGUUCGGAAAGAAAGAUGUGAAAUCCCAGAGCUCAACUUUGGAACUGCAUUUUUAACUACCGGGCUAGAGUGUAUGAGAGGGAGGUGGAAUUCCGCGUGUAGCAGUGAAAUGCGUAGAUAUGCGGAGGAACACCGGUGGCGAAGGCAGCCUCCUGGGAUAACACUGACGCUCAUGCACGAAAGCGUGGGGAGCAAACAGG